GACGUAGGGCGCGAGCGUUGUCCGGAUUUAUUGGGCGUAAAGAGCUCGUAGGCGGCUUGUUGCGUCAGCUGUGAAAAACCCGCAGCUCAACUGUGGGCUUGCAGCUGAUACGGGCAGGCUUGAGUUCGGUGAGGGGAGACUGGAAUUCCUGGUGUAGCGGUGAAAUGCGCAGAUAUCAGGAGGAACACCGGUGGCGAAGGCGGGUCUCUGGUCCAGCACCGACGUUCAGGCACGAAAGCGUGGGGAGCAAACAGG
Molecule: ribosomal RNA, 255 nt
Filed under: uncultured bacterium
Lineage: Bacteria
Description: partial 16S ribosomal RNA
Rfam family: Bacterial small subunit ribosomal RNA
Source: RNAcentral